RNAcentral lists this ribosomal RNA (633 nucleotides) under uncultured bacterium. Its description in RNAcentral is "bacterial SSU rRNA". It matches the Rfam family "Bacterial small subunit ribosomal RNA", at positions 232 to 885 of the family's 1533-position model. The record is from RNAcentral.
CGCGGCCUAUCAGCUUGUUGGUGAGGUAAUGGCUCACCAAGGCUAUGACGGGUAGGGGGCGUGAGAGCGUGGCCCCCCACAAGGUCACUGAGACACGGGGCCUACACCUACGGGUGGCAGCAACCGGGAAUAUUGCGCAAUGGGCGAAAGCCUGACGCAGCGACACCGCGUGUGGGAAGAAUCAUUUCGGUGUGUAAACCACUGUGGCGAGGGAAGAAGAUCUGACGGUACCUCGCUAGAAAGCACCUGCUAACUACGUGCCAGAAGCCUCGGUAAUACGUAGGGUGCAAGCGUUAUCCGGAUUUACUGGGCGUAAAGGGUUCCGCAGGCGGAAGAAUGCGUGAAGGGUUAAAGACCACGGCUCAACUGUGGGAGUGCUCUUCAUACGAUUCUUCUAGAGUAUGUUCGGGGAGACUGGAAUUCUCGGUGGAGGGGUGAAAUCCGUUGAUAUCGAGAGGAACGCCAAGGGCGAAGGCAGGUCUCUAGGACAUUACUGACGCUCAGGGACGAAAGCUUGGGUAGCAAAGCGGAUUAGAGACCCGUGUAGUCCAAGCCGUAAACGAUGGAUACUAGCUGGGCACUUUUGUGUCUGGCGUAAGCUAACGCGUUAAGUACCCCGCCUGGGGAGUACGG